UAGCUCGGGGCAGAACGUUCUCCCUCGUCCUGAGGCGUUCGUGUCGUCGUCUCCUUGGCAGCGGGGGCUUCGCUGCCGGGCCGAGACCCAGGGCCAGCCCUGUGUGGUACGAUGCCUUCUCGCGGUGCUGAGUGGCGGUGGCUGGGCACGUCUCCCUGUCAGCCCCAUGGUCGGUCGUGUGCUGCCUUCAGCGUGACAGGUUCAGCGCUGUUACAAGGUGGCCUGUGUGUCAGGUGAUUCUGUCCGCUGCAGACCAGGGGAGGGGCCAUCAGACGGUCACUCAGAGACGUCCACACUCUUGAUUAGCUGGAAAUGCCUCAGGGAGCAGACCAGCAGCUUGCGUCUUCACUGGAGAAGUUGUUCACUUCAAAGCAACAUUUACUGUAAGCUGUCUGCAUCCCAGAGCAGGACUGAGAUCGAGGGCCCAGCCUGCUUCCUCCUUGGCCAACCACUCAUUCUCAUCAAGCGAAUCAACUCUCAGGCCAUCGUGCUGAGUGAAAUAAACCAGGUCCGGAAAGACGCACAAGCGUGACCUCACUGUCAUGUGGAAACCAAGAGGCCGAGCCCAGGGAAGCAGGGAGAGGAGAGGCCACCAGGGACUGCGAAGCGCAGAGGAGGCGUGGCCAGGUACAGAGGCACCGUGAGGUGGGAGGAAUGGGUCCUGGGUUCCGCGGGGUGACUUCAGCGGCCAGUAAUGCACACUGCAGAAUGGCCGGAAGAGAGGAUUUGAGCGCUCCCCUCACCAGGAAGUGGUAUGUGUCUGAGGUGAUGGAUCUGCUAAUUACCUUGCUGUGAUCAUCACACCACAUGCACACCCCCUGAAACGCCUCCUUGUGCUCUGUAAAUGUGUAGGAGUUUUUUGUUUUUUGUUUUUGUUUUUUAUUUGACAGGCAGAGUGGACAGUGAGAGAGAGACAGAGAGAAAGGUCUUCCUUUGCCGUUGGUUCACCUUCCGAUGGCCGCCGCGGUAGGCAUGCUGCGGCCGGCGCACCGCGCCGAUCCGAUGGCAGGAGCCAGGUGCUUCUCCUGGUCUCCCAUGGGGUGCAGGGCCCAAGCACUUGGGCCAUCCUCCACUGCACUCCUUGGCCACAGCAGAGAGCUGGCCUGGAAGAGGGGCAACCGGGACAGGAUCGGUGCCCCGACCGGGACUAGAACCCGGUGUGCCGGCACCGCAAGGCGGAGGAUUAGCCUAGUGAGCCGCGGCGCCGGCCAAAAUGUGUAGGAGUUUUACAAUUUCUGAUGUAUGGAUAGAAAUGCAGGGAGAAAGAAGAAUCUUCUGUCUACUGGUUCACUCAACAAAUGCACACAGCAGCCGGGUCUGGGCCAGGCUGAAGCCAGGAGCCUGGAACUCCGUCCAGGUCUCCCACAUAGGUGGCAGGGACCCAGACACUCGAGCCAUCGCCUGCUGCCUCCUGGGGUCCACGUUAACAGGAAGCUGGAUCAGAAGUGGAGCAAAGGAGACCAGCAUUUGUGGUAUAGUGGGUUCAGCCACUGCCUGUGCUGCCGGGCUGGCCUGGUCCCAGGGGCUCUGCUUCUGAUCCAGCUCCCUCCUCAUGUGCCUAGGAAGGCAGAGGAAGAUGGUCCACAUGUGGGAGACCUGCGUGGAGUUCCUGGCUCCUGGCUUCUGCCUGGUGCAGCCCCUGGCAUCACAGCCAUUUGGCGAGUGAACCAGUGGAUAGAAGAUCUCUUUCCCUCUCUCUCUCUGUUACUCUGCCUUUCAAAUAAAAUAAACCUUAACAAAGAAACGAAAAGAAGCGCAGCUGGGUCUGGUACCCAAGCACUUCAGUAUGGGCUGUGAGCAUUCAGACGUGUAACUUCACUGCUGUACCAGAAGCCUGCCCCAGAAUGUCAGACGUCAACCAGAAUAAAAUGAAAACGGGUUUCAGUGGUGAACCAAUUGUGGCUGUGCCUGUGAGAG
This is a long non-coding RNA of Lepus europaeus (European hare), 1917 nucleotides long. RefSeq lists it as uncharacterized. Lineage: Eukaryota; Metazoa; Chordata; Mammalia; Lagomorpha; Leporidae. The record is from RefSeq and is a predicted model, not a curated record. The transcript is spliced from 3 exons.